ACAAAAGCGAUGAGAGGAACAAGUAGCAGGCCCCUUCCUUUCAGAGAGCCGGUGGGUGGUGCGAACCGGCAAGGAAGAGCUUGUGAAUCCAUCCUCGAGCAAAACGUUGAACGCCCAAAGGGCCAGUAGGCGUUUUCGGCCGCCGCCGUUAACGGCAAAAGAGGAAGGCAUAGCAAGCCUUCAAUAAGGGUGGCACCGCGGGAUCGCUCCCGUCCCUUUU
RNAcentral lists this non-coding RNA (220 nucleotides) under Geobacillus sp. RNAcentral describes it as "T-box sequence". It matches the Rfam family "T-box leader". From Rfam's summary of the family: Uncharged tRNA acts as the effector for transcription antitermination of genes in the T-box leader family. T-boxes are found upstream of many aminoacyl-tRNA synthetase genes and some amino acid biosynthetic genes usually in Gram-positive bacteria. Lineage: Bacteria; Bacillati; Bacillota; Bacilli; Caryophanales; Anoxybacillaceae. The record is from RNAcentral.